This is a long non-coding RNA of Patella vulgata (common limpet), 614 nucleotides long. RefSeq lists it as uncharacterized. The transcript has 3 exons. NCBI's taxonomy places the organism in Eukaryota, Metazoa, Mollusca, Gastropoda, Patellidae. The record is from RefSeq and is a predicted model, not a curated record.
UUCUUCGUCCAGUUCUGGACGAGCAUUAUUGGCAGGAUGGUGGAUAUUUUGUUUAAUAUCAGUAGCUACUUACAGUGGUAAUCUUAUAGCAUUCCUUACAGUAUCUAAAGAGAAACUUCCCUUCGAGACACUGGCCGAACUCGGGAAACAAAACGAAUACAAAUGGGGAACAUUACAAGGCAGUGUCUGGGUAUCGUUAUUAGAGAAUUCCAACUUGACUGAUUAUAAACGGUUAUGGCAGGGUAUCGUAGAAUUCAACAAAACCGAUCCAGACGUUCUACAUAUAGAUCAAGGCCACCAAAGACAAAAAAUUAUGGAUGAAAACUAUGGUUUUAUAGCGGAUAAAACGACAGCAGAGACUUGGGUUUUCCAAUCUUGUGAUUUGACUUACUUGAAAGAACUUUUCUUUCCAAUGAACUAUGCAUUCGCAUUACAAAAUAAUUCACCAUACUUACAGCAUUUCUCGGACGAAACGAUGAAAAUUAUGGAGAGUGGAUUAGUUCAAAUAUUACAACGACAAUGGUGGCCUAAACCAGGAACGUGUGUGGAUGAUUCGAAUUCUGUUCAGACUGUAGAACUAAUUGAUAUUCAGAGUGCUUUCUAUGUAAUUCUAA